ACCUGAGGAGAGGUAAGAAAGGGAAGGAUAGAAAGGGUAAAAUACAAAAACAAAGAUUCAAUUAUGUCAAAAAUACAUUGCCAGUGUGUAUCAGUUUAGAGAGGAUAUGACAGAUCAAUUAAUCUUAGUCUAUACACAGUCACCUGUCUCUAUCAUGCUCUUCUUGAUCAUCUCUGUUUGGUUUUUGUCUCCUUAGGUGACAUGGGUAGUGAGCAUUGAUAUAAUUGGCCUUCUGAUUUGGAUCAAAUUCUGACUGCACUGGAAGCAAAGUUGGAUCAGUGUGUUUGUUUGUAAAAAAAAAAAACUAUGUAUGUAUGCUCAAACAAAUCCCUGCUCUGUCAUAUUUUCUUCUGUGUUAUCUCUGAAAGUUGGCAUGAGCUUUGUAUGCUUAGGUUUAUAGCUUCUAGAUAUUAUCUAAGGCAGCUCCCUACAGGGCAUCCUAUAAAAUAAACAGAGAUAAAUUGCCUUCCAGGUUGUUAAAGGAAAAUGAAAACUCUACACGAAGCUAUAAAGACAACUUUCCCUAGUAUACGGAUGCUUCCAUAUGAUCUAACAAGCUCCUCUACAACACCAAUUUGCAAAUAGAGAGCUCAAGGAGUAGAGGAUGUGUGAAUAACGCAUUGAGGCUCUCAUUGGUGUGGUGUUAAAUUGGUUGAUACCCACCAUUGUUGUAGUUCACAGCGUACGUUCCUAUCUAGGUAGCUUGUUUAUAGGCAUGUACCACUAAAUCAAGAAAACACUAGAUGUGCAUUAGAUUUAAAAAAAAAAAAAAAAGUUUUAUCCUCUGACAAUUAUUUUUCAAUUGUAAUCUUUAAAUAUUGUUACCUCCAAUCACAGCAGAAUCGCUUCUGACCGCAUUGGUGAGAGGCUCCCUUUCAUCCGUCUUCCCGAAAGGAUCUGCAGUUGGUUAAGCAGAACAAGAUUUAUUUUUCUAUUGACUAUUUUAAUUUUUACUGUGGCUCAGACAGAAGUGUCCUCGUCCUCUUGUGAAUUGUAACCUUUAUUCAAAAGAUGUAAUUUGGGGUACUGGAAAAUCAAACCAGGAAGGUCUCUAAGCUUGCAGGACAAAUUUUUCCUACAUCUUCACUGUUAAGGAUGUAUUUAAGAGGAAACAGAAAAGCUUACAACUAACAUCUGAAAGUGUUUCCUCGGUUUAUCUGUAGAGAAAUCACAGAUAGAAAUCUGAGCUAAAUAGCCUGUUGGGAGCUCUAUUCAGUCACAGCUCUUUUUCUAUUUUUUUAAGUACCUGAGAUACCAGAAAGAAGCAAAAGACAGGAAGGCUGUAGCUCUGACCUACAUUUGUAGAUGAAGAUACAAGGUUUAAUUUGACUUGUAUAAAAAGAAUCAGUCUCUGCCUGGGACAGCUCUUUGGGAGAGGUCUUUUUCUCCACUGCAGAAAUGCAAUGGUCAAAUUAAAUUCAAUGCAGAGAGAUAUCAGUAAUGAAUUUCAACAUGAAAAGUUCCUAGAUGUUGUAGCUCUUCUACCUUUUCUAUAAAUGACUACAGGGCCAAAAUGUCUACAUGCUUAGUUACAGCAGUGUAGCUGCUUUUGUCCCAUUUCAGAAAACUGAUUUUUUCUGUUAGUUGAAUCCAGCUUUUCUUGCAUCUUCACAAGCAACUAUUCUGUAGUUGUGUAUCAGGAGGUGAUGACAUGUACAUACAUGUCAGGAUUCCCUACGCCUGCAACUCAGUCGCAACUCACUCAUUGUUUGAGCUAAAGCACAAAAGCAAUGAUUUGAAUGCCUUCGGAACACCCAUUAUCACUAUGAAUGUAACUGCUAAUUUUGACAGAUUUGGACACCUAUUUAUAUUUCCCUUAUUUGGAUCUUGGGUGCCUGCAGCGAUGUUGCCAAGCAACAAACAGUCACGGUAAAGUUUCAUCUUAUUUACUCUGUUUGUGGGACUGGAACAGGGUUAAAAAAAUGUUGUUUUACACAUAAAUGCAGGUGAAGUGUAUUCUGAGUUCUCAGGUGUCUCCUGACAAGAAAAAUUAACAUCUGUUGAAUGCCAGUCCUACUGUACUAAAGUAAAAUCUCUCCUUAAGUUUGGGGUUACAGUCAUAACUAUUCUUUUUCCUUCUUCUCAGGUUACUGAACUCUACCAUCUCAUAGAUCCCAUGGGCAAGGUAGCCUCUGGCAAACCUGUUGUUCCUCUUUGUUUGGGAAUGGCAGGUCCAGCUCAAACGUGGCAAAAUAGGGACUUGUGUUGUCCUAACUGCUAGUCAGAAACAAAAAUAUUUCUGUUUUUGGCAUUUACUUGACCUGCAUGAAGACCUGGGCUGGCCCAGGGUGGUGAUGGAGUCACUCACGCUGGAAGUGUUCAAGAACGUACCUGAAGAAGAAUAUAUUGUGGUUGCUGUGUUCACAUCAGCUUCCAUUAGAGAUGAACAGCUGGAUUCAGUCAAGGAACCCUUGACAGUCACAGGAGCAAUGCUGGGAUGGCGCAGAGCAGCUUUCAGGGGAGCAAUGUGGUUAUACCAAACAGAGGACAUGCAGCCAGUGAAACCAUAAGCAUUUGCCUUUGAGACUUCAGGGUCCAGUGAUAAACUAUCUGCAACACAACAGGAAAAUGGUCUGGGGAUUGUCAGUUUUAAGAAGAUGCAUUUAAAAAAAUGGAGAAAGCACAUUGUGGAUGUUAAUCACUACAAUAAUAGCAAUAAAAAGAAUAAUAAUAAACAGUAAAAAAAAAAAAAUCAACGUUGAACAUCACAGAAUCUGUGAGAUGAUCCUCUUCAACUUCUGGGUAACACAGUAACAGCACCUUCACAGAUGCAUCUUUAAGGAUCUGUGUCCAUGAUGUCAUGGAGCCAGAGGGAACAAGGCAAGAAAGAUGUAUUAAGUUUGAAAUAUAAUGUGGAAGAAUGUGGCUCUAUCUCAGCUAAGCAAGGUAUGGUGUAAGCUUUGUCUUACAGGGAGAAGCUCAGUUUGAACUUUUACUAAACGGUGAAGUGAGAGACAGAGGCUGCUGGAAUUUAGAAUAAAGGGGGGCUAAAGGGGGAUAGUUAAAGGUAGUUUGUAGAUUGGAAAAGGAAUGUAGAAGUUAAAAUAACAAGGAUCGGAGACUGUGGGUCUGGGGGAGCAGGAAGGAUUCGGAUAAGGAGUGAGAACUCCUUGAGACAUCUGGCAAGGAGGGGUUUAGAUGUUUUAAUAUCCGAAGAGGAGUUGCAUCUCCCUGAUAAGAUGGGUGAUAACAAGAGAGGGGUCUGCAUGCUAAACAACUAUUGAAUAUGGAUCUGAAUUCCAGGAAAUCAUUGACUGUGUAUUAGGUUUACCCAUAUCUGUGUCAUGAUUUUACAAGUCAGGGUGCAAGUUUGGUGGAGACAUCCCCCCUUGCACCCAGUGGUGCGCAACACUGAAAUAAACAUACGUGCUUUAUAACCAAUCUCUGGAUUAUAGAGUUUGAUUCUGUAAGUUAUCACUGCCAGGAGAGUUAGGUGGACAACCUCUGGGGUGCAAACAACUGAACAGCUGCCAGAGAGAUGUGAAGAUAAGCAGUAAGAUUUUAACAUUAAAAAACCCUGCAGCCUUACAUAAAUUCACAUUUGUUUUUGUGUAGGAAAAUAUAGGGAAAUAUUGUAUUCAGGUUUCUAAUGAGAUUUUGGCAGAGGUCUUAUAAAACAAACAGAGUCAUUUCCAAGUUUCUGCACAAAGGUUUAUAUAAAAUAAAAAGUUCAGUUUGCAGUAUUUGUCACCUUUCUUGAAUCUGCAAAAUCUUUUGUAAACAUUUGUACUCUCAGCAUUUCCUUUCUUAUUAACUUUGACUCAAAAGGUGGAUUUGUUGGUAUCUUUCAGGUGUCAGGCAAACUAAAUUGUUCUGUUCUGCCCCAAUGUGUAAAAGGUAAAACCUACAAGAUAAUGAAUUCUUUUUUCAUGGUACAGUAGCUUGAAAAGUCUAAGAGCACUGUUGAAGGCUUUUUUUAAAGUCAAAUUAAGGGCCAGUUCCCAUCCUCUGUUGUCAAAGUAAGCUUUGCAUGAAUGAGAGCGAGAAGAAUUGUUGUUGUAAAGCUGUGAAAUUUGGAAGAGAAGAAAAGGAGUGAAAGAACAAACUGGAAACAACCCCAGAGCUUUCUAGUAAAAAUUCCAUGUACGCAGGUAUGGGUUUCUAAGACUUGAGGUGCACGCUCUGUCUUUCAAAUAGCAGGUCUGUCACUGAACUCAGCAAGAGACUGCUACACCUUGGAUGUGAAUGAUGUGUGUUACGCCCUAUGAAUCCUUGUGAGAAUAAUGUAAGUCUGAGCUUAUAACAGGAUGUAGCUGUGUUAAGUUGAAUGACCUGUGUGCAGGGGAGCUUUUUUGGAAUUUUACUGUUCGUUAUCCAUAUUUUCAUUAGUAAAAAAAGGUAAGCUUCUUAUUUAUGAAGGUGAUGCUAUUGAGCAAGAAACAGGGGACCAGAUAUUCAAUGUACUUGAGAAAUAGUUCUGAAACAGCAAAGGAUGGUGAGAACAAAGUAAAAGUACUUUUUCUCUUCAGUUAGCCCAGGAACAGGCACAACAUUUCACGUUUUGCUUGCUAGCAAAUGAACAUUUAAUGCUAAGAGGUAGACAGGAGAUUUUUGUUUCAUUAGGCUUAGCAGAAAUAAUUUCAGGCAUAUAAUCGGUGUGUUUUCUAUAAGACAGCUUGUCAUUGAAAAUAAAACUGUGCUUUGAAUUGCAAUGUGAAAUUUGUGACGUCAAAUUUUUAGAUGCUUGAAUCUUAAUCUGUCACAGCAUUGCCAGCCAUGUGAAGUUCUGCAUGAGCUCAAAGUGUAAUCUAUAAGAAGAAAAUAUGCCAAAAAAAAAAGAAAGCCACCUACAGACAAUGUUCAAAAGAAUACAUGCCCUUCUAACAAGCAGAUAGCUAAGAUCAAUCUAAGCAGCAAGAAUACACUCCAAUAAAUGAAAUUUUUACAGAGAAGUAGAUAACCUUUGACAGUUAUUUAGACAAUAUCAUUAAAGAAUUAGACAUUUAAAUGUGUGGUAUUAGUAUCCAUAAUUUUGAAUGGAUUUUCUCUUUGUAAUGUGGACAUGAUAGCAUUAUUGGCUCAGAAUGUGGACUGUGUGAAGUGCUUGUGCUAGUAGAGCUUUGUAUUUUAUGUAAUGUCAGCUAGCUCCUAAAUGUCUCUUCCAAGUAGCCGCUUUGAUUUUCUGUAAGACCUUACCAGGUUACUAGGAAGAAAAAAAUUUAGACCUCUACCACAAACAUGAGAUUUUUUUUUUUUUUUCAAAGCUAAAGUUAUCCCAUGAAGUAUGUAUUCAGGGGGGAAAGACUGCAGUAAGGAAAAAAGCCUUGCAGUGAUGGUAGAAGUCCAGAUGAUAGUUGUUGUGGCUGCUUCUGUGUUGAUGAAAUGUUUGAGAAAUAUAUAUUAUUUACUGAAACCAGUAUGGGUUAGUAAUUAAAGGCUUUGCACAGCUGGGGGUUGUGAGAAGCUGGAGAAUUGUUGGAAGCCUGUCCAAGGGAACCCAUGGACAUGACCUGCCCAAGAAGUGAAUGGUGGAUUACCAUGAGCACAGUGGAGAAAGGACAGAAGCUCAGUUCUUCCUGAUGGAGGAAAAAAAAGUAGGUGGGUACCCCAACAGGUAACAUCAUGGUGAUGGACAGGAACUGAUGCAUCUGAUAACUGCGGGAGAUGAGUCUGGAGGAAGAGCGGGCAUGCCCUCUGCCAAAAUGCAACUAUGUAAGACUAGGAGACAUCAGUAGAUUCUAUGGUGGUGUGUAUAAUUGCUCUGUAAUCUGUGUGAUAGAGUGUCUUUCUUUACUAUUGCUAACUUAAUGAUUUUCCCCACUGUAGCUGUAAUGCAGAUUAUGCUGUGAUUAAAAGGUUAAAAUUUAGGAAUUGUUGGAGGAGCUGUACAGGGGUUAAGAAAUGGUUAAUAAUCAUGAAAAAUAUUAAAGUACGGAGAAUAGCUCAAUAAAUACUGUUGAAAAAGUAUCUCUAUAGCUCAUAAAUCAUGUAGAUGGGUCUGGAGUGUGAGAGGGCAAGAGAUUCCAUGUACCUCUAUAAACUAGACACGUUACACAUAUGUUUAUGUGUAUCUAUCUGAGAUCAGAAGAUUACAUAAUAAUCUAUGUUGAUUGACACCUGUCAAAAUUGAUUGAUACCUUUUAAAGUUGAUCAACACCUUUGAGGGUCAUGAACUUCUCUCCAUUGUUUAAAGCACAGCCUGCCUCCUUAGGUCAAAUUGCCAACAGUGCUCAUGUGGUGAUGCACACCAGGAUGUUCUCUGCUUGCACCGCUAAAAGUAUGUGAACUGGGACUCUCGUUAAGAUUUCACAUAGGCUUUACCAAAAACUGUAAGACCCACUUGUGGUCUGGAACCAGUACUCACUGAAGUCCAGGGAACGACUUCCAUCAAUAGCAAUGGGCUUUGGAUAAGACCUUUUGUGUCUUUGCUCUAUAUAUGUGAAGAAAGUGUCAAUGACCAUGGGAUAAUAGUAUUUCUGUAUUGCUACUGGAUACUGUGAGGAAGAUUUCAACAAAUAGCCAUUGGUUAUUUGAAUGCUGCUUCUUUUUACUCAGUUGUCUUCAAAGCCACAUUUAUAUUUAGAUUGAUCUUUCUAAGGAAGCUAUAUGGCCCUGUUACUGUGGAUCUGAACAGCUCACAACCUUUUAUGCUCUUAUCCUCACAGCAUCCCUCUGAUGUAGGAAUGUUCUAUUAUCCAGGCUUUACUGAUAGAGAACAGAGAUACUAUAGCAUGGAUUGAUUCCACAGAGAAUAAAAUGCCUACUUACCUUUGUAACAGCACAUAAAUGGCUUGCCCAAGGUCAUUCAAGCCAUCUGUGGCACACUGAGCGUCCCUAUAUUCUGAAUUCCAGGUGAUCCCCCUCUGUCUUUAACUGAGGGCUUUUUCCUGCAAUUCUGAGCUGGGUGUAGCAUAGCCAUUCAAAACCAUUUCAAAGACAGGAAAAAGUAUCAGUGUGUAAAGCUUUGGACUAAAAGAAGUCAAAAGUGGCUGAAGGGGCUGGAAAUCAAUAACUGGACAUCGCAUAAACCUGUGCUUUUCAAGAGUUCCAGCUGUGCUCAGCAUGGUAAUAAUAUGAAAAUCUAUUGAGGAAGAGAUCUUAAUCUUGUGAUAUCACAGAAUCACAGUACAGCUGUGGUUGGAAGACAUCUCAAAGAUCAUCAUACUCCAAAUGCCCCUGCUGUGGACAGACCUGCCACCCACCAGAUCAGGCUGCCCAGAGAAGCCCCAUUCAACCUGGCUUUGAAUGCUUCCCAAGGACUGAUAAAAACUAUAAAGGUCUCUCCAGAUGGUGUCCCUUCCUUCUUCUGUGUCAACUGCACUGCUCAGGUUGGUGUCAUCGGCAAACUUGCUGAGUGCACUCAAUCCCCCUGUCAAAUGUCACUGAAGAGUGCCAGUCCCAAGACGGAGCCUCGGGGGAUACCACUUGUCAUUGGUCUCCACCAGCCUUCUCUGUUGACUGUAACGCUCUGGCUGUGGUUAUCCAACCUACUCUUCUUAGCCCAGACUUCAAAUGCAUAUUUAAUCAAUUAAGCAAUAAGGAUGUGAUACAGGACCAUGUGAAAGGCUUUACACAAGUCCUGGUACAUGAUAACUAUUGCCUUUACUUUGUCCAUUGGUGAUGUCAUUCCAGAAGCUCUUACAGAUUUCUCAGCCAGUUGAAAAUGAACAGUGGUGUCAAGAAAGACAUUAAUUUAUAAAGUGUAGGUUAAGGAACCACAAUCAAACUUGGAGCAAAGAAUGUGCAGUCUUGGCAGGAUACAAGACAGAAUUUCAGACAACUAUAGUGCAAAUAAGUAGAAUACAGCUUUUCUGUAUGGUUAUAUUACAAAGAUUACUUGGCACCUAAAUUAAAAAUAAGCACUACAAGAAGUAAGUCAAGUCUGGAUCUCCUGCCUCUAUGAGUUGAUGCUGUUGCUGAGAACUUGAUGAACAAUAACAAGGAAGAAGUUGGCUGAAGAAUAUUGGCUUAGGUCAACCGUAUUCACCUUUCAGUGAACCAUCAUUAGAAAAAGCUAUGUUUUAAAAUUUUACCCGUUUAAAAGUAGAAAUAAAUUAUGAUUGGACACAUGUAUAUAAAUUCUACAUUCCCAAAAUGACAAAGUGUGGCCAGGUUCCAAUUUCAAUAAGAUUGAAGACGACACAAAACAGGGUUGAUAGAUGAGAUUGUUGUGUCACCCUUCAGAGGAACCUUGACAAGAUGGAAAAAUAGGCACAAAAGGAAGUUCAAUGAAGAAAAUACAAAAAGGCCUAUAUUUAUGUUAGGAAUUACCUCAUCCACCAAUACUGAUUGAAAACCAGCUUUGUAAAGAAAGAUCUGGGGGACAAUAAGCUGACAACAAGACAGCAGCAUGCCCUCGCAGCCAAGGUGGCCCAUUUUCUCCUGGCAUCCAGAGCUGUCUUGCGAAAAGCAAUGCCAGCAGACAGAUGAUGUUCUUCCCUUUGUACCCUGCAUGAGUUUUGUGCAACUGGAGCACGGGGUCCAGUUCUAGGCCUCCCAGCAGAAGACAGGCACAGAUUUACUAUAGCAAGCCCAGCAAAGGCUCACAAAGAUUAUUAAAGGACAUGAGCAUUCUUCAUAUGAGAAAAGGUGGGGAGAGCUGGGCCUCUUCAACCUGGGGAAGACUUAGAGAAGACUGUGACAUGCAAUUCAGGGAGGGAGUAAAGACUCUUCUUAGCACAGAUGCCAGAUUUAACUCGGCAGAUGAAUUCCUGACAGAAAAGUCUGAGGAAGUUCAUUUAAUAUAUGAAAAAGAAACCAGAUCUAGGAUUAGGCUGAAAUUAAAUUGACUUCCUGGGAUUGUGUGAUUCUUGGUACAGCAAUAAGAUCUCCAAUCAGCUGGAUGAGCGAGUUUAUGGCUUUAGUGUCAUUACAGAAAAUUAUUGCUACCUUAUUAAUACUAAUAGAAAAUAUCUAGAAACUUUGGAGAAAAGAGGGAAAAAAAAAAAAAAAAAAAAAAAAAAAAA
Molecule: long non-coding RNA, 8906 nt
Organism: Coturnix japonica (Japanese quail)
Lineage: Eukaryota; Metazoa; Chordata; Aves; Galliformes; Phasianidae
Source: RefSeq, a predicted model, not a curated record